RNAcentral lists this ribosomal RNA (253 nucleotides) under uncultured bacterium. Its description in RNAcentral is "partial 16S ribosomal RNA". It matches the Rfam family "Bacterial small subunit ribosomal RNA", at positions 524 to 775 of the family's 1533-position model. The record is from RNAcentral.
UACGUAGGGGGCGAGCGUUGUCCGGAUUUAUUGGGCGUAAAGAGCUCGUAGGCGGCUUGGUAAGUCGGGUGUGAAACCUCCAGGCUCAACCUGGAGACGCCACUCGAUACUGCCCUGGCUGGAGUCCGGUAGGGGACCACGGAAUUCCUGGUGUAGCGGUGAAAUGCGCAGAUAUCAGGAGGAACACCGGUGGCGAAGGCGGUGGUCUGGGCCGGCACUGACGCUGAGGAGCGAAAGCGUGGGGAGCGAACAG